This is a long non-coding RNA of Cydia amplana, 348 nucleotides long. RefSeq lists it as uncharacterized. The record is from RefSeq and is a predicted model, not a curated record. NCBI's taxonomy places the organism in Eukaryota, Metazoa, Arthropoda, Insecta, Lepidoptera, Tortricidae. The transcript has 2 exons.
CCUAAGCGACUUACUCACACAAUAACGCGUGCACAGACGUGCCGUUCACACAUAUAAACGCCAAUGAUUUUCGAUGUAUGGCGUGUCCGCCCUGUGGUAGGAUAAUAGUACAUUAUUGCAGAGGCCGGGAAAGGGCAAUUCGUGGAUGAGUUUCGAUUUUGUCGGACGACGCGAAGCGGAGUCCGACAAAGAAGACGAAUCCACGAAUUGCUAUUCCUGCCGAGGCAUAUAUAGUGCUUUUCUCCAAACAUGCGAGGAAAUAAGGUAAAAUAAUAAUUAUUUAAGCAUCAAGCAUCACUCAAAUCGAACCUUCACAUCAAAAAUGUCAAAAACAAUUUCCCUCUUUAA